CGCCGGCCUCAUUUUUAGGAAGUGUUCUCUCCGCGUAGCACGUGCUAACAACAAGCAACACACAGCCGAGCCAGGCACCAGAGGCUAACAUCUGUAAGGGAUUUGUACAGUGAGAUGAUGAACUAAUAAUACAUGUGAACGUUUUAAACUCAUUGCAGUCCCACUCAGUGCGACCCCACGCCGGGUCAGAGGGGCGGAGAUGGAGACGCCGUGUCAGUGCAGAACCCCGAGCGCGUCGGGCGCAUGACCGGUCCUGGAAUCCCAACAGGUGUUCCCAAUUCCCCGUUACCAUGGCGACCGCCCCUCUUUGUCCCCCUCGCUCACCCUUUUGCCGUUUCCCCUCCAAAAAAUAACCCUCUCCGUCAAAUCUCACCUCCUCCGCUGACUUGUAAUCAUAGGCGUCCUUUAAUGGGUUCGGUUAAUCAGAUUCAGGUGAUUCCAGGAUGAGACGUCGCUCCGAGUGGGGGUUUGGUGUGCGGCCGCCAGGGGGGGCCGCGGCUCAUCCGCGAAAGACUCGGCCCGCCUCCCCCAAAAACACGGAGCCGGCUGGUCGCAGGUCAGCGGGAGGCCCCCCGGGAGACACCGGGCGCUCCAGUUGAGCUGAUUCCGGAGAGGAGGCCCGAAGGCACUGCGGCGGGGAAAGUUUACCCCCCCCGGCGGAGGAUGUAACUCCUCGACCGUCCUCCUCCUCCUAGCCUUUGACCUCCGCCUCCUCCUCUUCGCUUUCCCCCGAUGGGCCUGUUGCAUAUUUAGCUGUUGUCAUGGCAGCGGCUGUUUGUUUGAGACCGUGACGGGAUCAUCUGUUAGGUCACCUGACGCGACCUCACUCUGAACCCCCGCGCACACAAUCGCAGUGUGAUGUCAUCUCAAACAAGGCGCCUCAAAGGGAAGCGCCAGCGUCGCCUAUGAUGCCGUGUGUAUUUGCUCUUCUGAUUUUAUGAAGAUUAAUGGAACAAAGAGGAGGAGCGAGUGUGUCUGUCUUUCUCAGGCCACCGUACGAAUCCAUACGUCUCCACGAUGUGUUCCGUAGACGUACGGAAUCCCACCCGUCUGCCCAAAAUCUGAGCUUUUGAUUCGUUCAUUAAUCGGCUCCUGAGGUUCUUCCUUCCUCUACCAGAAGUGGCCUCCCCAUCGCCCGUCUUCCCACUAAAGUGCAAGUGUCAUUCCUUCCUGCAGAGAAUAUCCUGCACCUCGUUCCAACACGUUUCCACCGACAUGCCGCUGUCUGCUGCUUCGCUCUUUCCAAGGAGCGCAUCGAUUUCUCUCUUCUAUUAAAUGAGUUGUUUCAACACAGCGGGGGUGAUCGGGACGGGACGUAUGAGUACAUUUCAGAGCGUGGAGAGAUGGUUGGGGGCAGAUACGUUCACAAAUGAAUAGUGGGCUUGUUUAUGCUCUCAGACGGAGAGAAUGGGGGGGGGGGGGGGGGUCACCAUAUACGUCCUUUGGUUUGGAAUCUACAACUUUAAAUUUAUAUUUUCAACAUGACGAAUCCAUUAUUAAUUUCUUCUUCUUCUUCCCCACAUGAAACCCUCUGGAGGUUUGGAUACGAGUGAAGUGUGAGUGACAUUUUCGCCUGCAAAUGAGUGGUGAAUAUUCAUUUGCACUUAGAGUGAAAAGGAAAAUACCUUUUAUUUAAAUGUGCAAAAUGUGUAAUGACUGUACAAUAGAUCUAUACAGGUCAGCCAUUUUAUUCAUAUUUAUUUUUGUGCACAAAAAUGGUCCGGAAACGUUUUUUGUUACCCUACGAUUUCUAAUAACAAAAUACGGCAUCAAAAU
Long non-coding RNA from Gasterosteus aculeatus aculeatus (three-spined stickleback), 1776 nucleotides. The record is from Ensembl. Lineage: Eukaryota; Metazoa; Chordata; Actinopteri; Perciformes; Gasterosteidae.